GUGGGGGUGGGUGGGCAGAAGCAGGAGAGAGCAGGAGAAAGGGCAGAAGGAGACUGCCUCUGAGACCUUCCAUUGUUCUCCAGGUCAAAGUAUUCAGCAUGCCACUGCACCAUAUUUUGGGGCGUCAUGGUCAUUUGUUAAGCAUCAACAAAAUAGUGCUGUAUAGCUGAGAGGAUGUGCAGAGAGAACAAUACAUUCAACGAGACCGAAAAUGGAAAAAAAAUUCACUUUUAUUACCUUAAAGAUGCCAAACAGUGCCAUUUUAUGACUGUGGGAAGCUGGAAGUCAUUUCUGAACUCUUUUGGCAAGAGUGCUAUGUAGAGCAUCCAACUCAGCCCUUUAAGUGUCUUCUGAGAACCGCCACACAGCCAGUGAUUUACCGUCUUCAGGAGUUAAAAGGACGCUUUCUGUUCUGAAACGGAAGAAAGGUGAUGCGUGUUUAGGACGCUUCCCAAUGACACUCCGGAGGACCUGAGACAGCCCGAGGAUGUCUGAGAACUGUCACGGAUAGAGAUUUAUUACAUUCAGAAGCCAGAAGACUCAUCUUUCCAAGAAUAUUAAAAUGGUUUGCACAAGACAGAAAGGACACUAGGAAUUCCUUUAGAUGCUUGAGUCCAAGUUCCAUUUUGCUACCUUUCCACUGGAAGACCUUCAGCCAGUUGCUCAAUGCCUCUGGUAUGGUUCCUCAAUGCACACGGGGCUGCCGGUAGCUCCCUUAAGGUGCUGCUGCGGGAAUUCAGUGAGAUGGCCUAGGUGCGACUGCACCCCCCUAAGGUUUGUCUUGUCAUGCAAUAAAACCUUC
Molecule: long non-coding RNA, 802 nt
Organism: Heterocephalus glaber (naked mole-rat)
Lineage: Eukaryota; Metazoa; Chordata; Mammalia; Rodentia; Bathyergidae
Source: Ensembl